UACAGAGGGUGCUAGCGUUGUUCGGAAUCAUUGGGCGUAAAGGGCGUGUAGGCGGUUUGCUAAGUCAUGUGUGAAAUAUCCCGGCUCAACCGGGAGGGUGCACUUUAGACUGAUGAGCUUGAGGUCGGUAGAGGGGGGUGGAAUUGCUGGUGUAGCGGUGAAAUGCGUAGAGAUCAGCAGGAACACCCGUGGCGAAGGCGGCCCCCUGGGCCGUACCUGACGCUGAGGCGCGAAGGCUAGGGGAGCGAACGGG
RNAcentral lists this ribosomal RNA (253 nucleotides) under uncultured prokaryote. RNAcentral's name for it is "partial 16S ribosomal RNA". It matches the Rfam family "Bacterial small subunit ribosomal RNA", at positions 524 to 776 of the family's 1533-position model. The record is from RNAcentral.